Molecule: transfer RNA, 72 nt
Filed under: Mariniblastus sp.
Lineage: Bacteria; Pseudomonadati; Planctomycetota; Planctomycetia; Pirellulales; Pirellulaceae
Description: tRNA-Ile
Source: RNAcentral
GGUAGUCGGGAUCUGGUAGAUCGAGCUGGUCUUAUAAGCGAGCUGCGGUGGGUUCAAUUCCCACGGCUACCA